RNAcentral lists this ribosomal RNA (265 nucleotides) under uncultured bacterium. RNAcentral's name for it is "partial 16S ribosomal RNA". It matches the Rfam family "Bacterial small subunit ribosomal RNA", at positions 96 to 354 of the family's 1533-position model. The record is from RNAcentral.
UGGCGAACGGGGUGAGUAACACGUGGGCAACCUGCCCAAAANAGGGGGAUAACACUUGGAAACAGGUGCUAAUACCGCAUAACCAUAGUUACCGCAUGGUAACUAUGUAAAAGGUGGCUAUGCUACCGCUUUUGGAUGGGCCCGCGGCGCAUUAGCUAGUUGGUGGGGUAAAGGCUUACCAAGGCAAUGAUGCGUAGCCGAACUGAGAGGUUGAUCGGCCACAUUGGGACUGAGACACGGCCCAAACUCCUACGGAAGGCAGCAG